CAGACGUGAAUAUAGUUUACCAAAACAUUAAGCUGUGGACUUAAAAACAAAGAGCCUUCCUUCUCUUUUAUUCACC
RNAcentral lists this transfer RNA (76 nucleotides) under Hemidactylus fasciatus (banded leaf-toed gecko). Its description in RNAcentral is "tRNA-His". Lineage: Eukaryota; Metazoa; Chordata; Lepidosauria; Squamata; Gekkonidae. The record is from RNAcentral.